UUUAAAAUACAUUUUCACACCCAAGGCUCUUCCGACAUCGGCCAGGUCGGAAACAUUUCUCUGCCGUGGAAUGGAGGAUAUUCUUCUCAGUCCUGGCGAGACGGAUGACGACCUGCAUGUUUACGUCAACUGAGGACAGUUUACGGCACUCCAUUCUCCUCCUGGCGGCGCUUACGCUGGUCCGCAAAACGUCGACAGCAACAGGAAGAAAAACAAUUUGAAAAAGUUUAAUUGUUUUAAAUAACAAAGAUUAAAUUGCUUUGUUUAUACAUUGGUGACCACUUGUAGGACUUGUAUUUGACUGUUCUGAGGUAACAUAAUCUGUUGUACAGGGAUGGGAUGAGGAAUGAAUGAUGUGCGUUUUGUUGUUUUCUUUCUUUCAAACACUUGCAUAAUAAAAUGCAUGGAAUUUCUUCACAGGCGUUAAAUAGCUUCCCUGGAGACCUGAUUCACUCACUAUAACUUUGCAGUUAUGGUCUGUGUUGAUUUGUGAUCCAUAUUAUCUGGUAAAACAAGUAUGUCGUAAGCUCCUCAUGCGAUGUAUUAAAAUUGUGUGAGUGAAUAAACUGAAUGAGAAAAGCGAGGGAGAAGACAACCAGGCCAGUUGAUGUUCAACAACAAUGAAGUACAUUUUUUGACAAUCA
This is a long non-coding RNA of Xiphophorus hellerii (green swordtail), 644 nucleotides long. RefSeq lists it as uncharacterized. NCBI's taxonomy places the organism in Eukaryota, Metazoa, Chordata, Actinopteri, Cyprinodontiformes, Poeciliidae. The transcript has 2 exons. The record is from RefSeq and is a predicted model, not a curated record.